Molecule: ribosomal RNA, 460 nt
Filed under: uncultured bacterium
Lineage: Bacteria
Description: partial 16S ribosomal RNA
Rfam family: Bacterial small subunit ribosomal RNA
Source: RNAcentral
CCUACGGGAGGCAGCAGUGAGGAAUAUUGGUCAAUGGGCGUAAGCCUGAACCAGCCAAGUCGCGUGAGGGAUGAAGGUUCUAUGGAUCGUAAACCUCUUUUAUAAGGGAAUAAAGUGUGGGACGUGUCCUAUUUUGUAUGUACCUUAUGAAUAAGGAUCGGCUAACUCCGUGCCAGCAGCCGCGGUAAUACGGAGGGUCCGAGCGUUAUCCGGAUUUAUUGGGUUUAAAGGGUGGGGAGGCGGCCUUUUAAGUCAGCGGGGAAAGUCUGUGGCUUAACCAUGAGAUUGCCGUUGAAAAUGGGGGUCUUGAGUAUGUUUGAGGCAGGCGGAAUGCGUGGUGUAGCGGUGAAAUGCUUAGAUAUCACGCAGAACCCCGAUUGCGAAGGCAGCCUGCCGAGCCAUGACUGACGCUGAUGCACGAAAGCGUGGGGAUCAAACAGGAUUAGAUACCCGAGUAGUC